This 208-nucleotide long non-coding RNA is filed under the name Gossypium barbadense (sea-island cotton). RNAcentral describes it as "long non-coding RNA (GBAR_LNC001168)". Lineage: Eukaryota; Viridiplantae; Streptophyta; Magnoliopsida; Malvales; Malvaceae. The record is from RNAcentral.
GGAAGCUCGUCGGAGACCUAUCACACUAUCCAGCAAGAGUUUCGAUAAUUAUUAUGUAUUUUGGCCAAGGUUAAUAAUAGCAUGUAUAGGUCAUUUUGAAUGGUAUUUAGUGAACGUGUAAAUGGUAAUUUGGCAUGUUUGUGCUUUGAAGUUUAUGUAUGGUUGAUGGACUUGUAAUUCUUGUUAAGUUAGGUCCUCUUAAUCACCU